Molecule: transfer RNA, 72 nt
Filed under: Brucella sp. NF 2653
Lineage: Bacteria; Pseudomonadati; Pseudomonadota; Alphaproteobacteria; Hyphomicrobiales; Brucellaceae
Description: tRNA-Gly
Rfam family: tRNA
About the family: Transfer RNA (tRNA) molecules are approximately 80 nucleotides in length. Their secondary structure includes four short double-helical elements and three loops (D, anti-codon, and T loops).
Source: RNAcentral
GCGGGUGUAGCUCAGGGGUAGAGCACAACCUUGCCAAGGUUGGGGUUGAGGGUUCGAAUCCCUUCGCCCGCU